UACAGAGGUCUCAAGCGUUGUCCGGAUUUAUUGGGCGUAAAGAGCGUGUAGGCGGCCUGAAAGGUCAGCUGUGAAAACUCGGGGCUCAACCCCGAGACGUCGGUUGAAACCAUCUGGCUAGAGUCCGGAAGAGGAGUGUGGAAUUCCCGGUGUAGCGGUGAAAUGCGCAGAUAUCGGGAGGAACAUCUGUGGCGAAGGCGGCCAUCUGGACCAGCACUGACACUGAGGCACGAAAGCGUGGGGAGCAAACAGG
Molecule: ribosomal RNA, 253 nt
Filed under: uncultured bacterium
Lineage: Bacteria
Description: partial 16S ribosomal RNA
Rfam family: Bacterial small subunit ribosomal RNA
Source: RNAcentral